Molecule: non-coding RNA, 75 nt
Organism: Myotis brandtii (Brandt's bat)
Lineage: Eukaryota; Metazoa; Chordata; Mammalia; Chiroptera; Vespertilionidae
Source: Rfam
GGUGGUUCUUGGGUGACGCACCCUGCAAUUGGGCUCCCUCCUCUCUGGUUCUGGGUGCAUCACCCGAGAUCCGAA